RNAcentral lists this signal recognition particle RNA (311 nucleotides) under Ananas comosus (pineapple). Its description in RNAcentral is "Plant signal recognition particle RNA". It matches the Rfam family "Plant signal recognition particle RNA". Lineage: Eukaryota; Viridiplantae; Streptophyta; Magnoliopsida; Poales; Bromeliaceae. The record is from Rfam by way of RNAcentral.
GCCGAGCUUAGUAACGCGAGCUUGUGACCCACGUGGGGGCUGUGGAUGGGUGCGGACGUUUGAUAGGACCGUUGGGUCAGGGCUCUUGUUUGUGCAAUUGAAUUGGGCCCGCCCGUUCCAAGCUGAGCAGUGGGCCACGUGGUCCCGGGGGAAGGCCUGGGUCCAGUGGGUCCUGCAGUGGAGGGGACUGCGUGAGGCUGGUUUCACAGAGCAGCGAACACCUCCCGCUCUCAACGGUGGAAGGAUUACGGGCCAACGCACUCUGAGCCCAACAAUGGCCCACCGGCCUACUCUAACGAACCACCUAUCUU